CCUACGGGGGGCAGCAGUGGGGAAUAUUGGACAAUGGACCAAGAGUCUGAUCCAGCAAUUCUGUGUGCACGAUGAAGUUUUUCGGAAUGUAAAGUGCUUUCAGUUGGGAAGAAAUAAAUGACGGUACCAACAGAAGAAGUGACGGCUAAAUACGUGCCAGCAGCCGCGGUAAUACGUAUGUCACGAGCGUUAUCCGGAUUUAUUGGGCGUAAAGCGCGUCUAGGUGGUUAUGUAAGUCUGAUGUGAAAAUGCAGGGCUCAACUCUGUAUUGCGUUGGAAACUGUAUAACUAGAGUACUGGAGAGGUAAGCGGAACUACAAGUGUAGAGGUGAAAUUCGUAGAUAUUUGUAGGAAUGCCGAUGGGGAAGCCAGCUUACUGGACAGAUACUGACGCUGAAGCGCGAAAGCGUGGGUAGCAAACAGGAUUAGAUACCCCAGUAGUC
RNAcentral lists this ribosomal RNA (443 nucleotides) under Klebsiella pneumoniae. RNAcentral describes it as "bacterial SSU rRNA". It matches the Rfam family "Bacterial small subunit ribosomal RNA", at positions 338 to 795 of the family's 1533-position model. The record is from RNAcentral. Lineage: Bacteria; Pseudomonadati; Pseudomonadota; Gammaproteobacteria; Enterobacterales; Enterobacteriaceae.